UUAGAUAAAAAACCAAUGCCCUUCGGGGCUCUUUGGUGAUUCAUGAUAACUUCUCAGAUCGCAUGGCCUUGCGCCGGCGACGGUUCAUUCAAAUUUCUGCCCUAUCAACUUUCGAUGGUAAGGUAUUGGCUUACCAUGGUUUCAACGGGUAACGGGGAAUUAGGGUUCGAUUCCGGAGAGGGAGCCUGAGAAACGGCUACCACAUCCAAGGAAGGCAGCAGGCGCGCAAAUUACCCAAUCCCGACACGGGGAGGUAGUGACAAUAAAUACUGAUACAGGGCUCUUUUGGGUCUUGUAAUUGGAAUGAGUACAAUUUAAACCUCUUAACGAGGAACAAUUGGAGGGCAAGUCUGGUGCCAGCAGCCGCGGUAAUUCCAGCUCCAAUAGCGUAUAUUAAAGUUGUUGCAGUUAAAAAGCUCGUAGUUGAACCUUGGGCCUGGCUGGCAGGUCCGCCUCACCGCGUGUACUUGACCGGCCGGGCCUUCUCUUCUGGAGAACCUCAUGCCCUUUACUGGGCGUGUUGGGGACCAGGACUUUUACUUUGAAAAAAUUAGAGUGUUCAAAGCAGGCCUUUGCUCGAAUAUGUUAGCAUGGAAUAAUGGAAUAGGACGUGCGGUCCUAUUUUGUUGGUUUCUAGGACCGCCGUAAUGAUUAAUAGGGACAGUCGGGGGCAUCAGUAUUCAAUUGUCAGAGGUGAAAUUCUUGGAUUUAUUGAAGACUAACUACUGCGAAAGCAUUUGCCAAGGAUGUUUUCAUUAAUCAGUGA
Molecule: ribosomal RNA, 766 nt
Filed under: Aquihelicascus songkhlaensis
Lineage: Eukaryota; Fungi; Ascomycota; Dothideomycetes; Pleosporales; Morosphaeriaceae
Description: SSU rRNA
Rfam family: Eukaryotic small subunit ribosomal RNA
Source: RNAcentral